This 253-nucleotide ribosomal RNA is filed under the name uncultured bacterium. RNAcentral describes it as "partial 16S ribosomal RNA". It matches the Rfam family "Bacterial small subunit ribosomal RNA", at positions 524 to 776 of the family's 1533-position model. The record is from RNAcentral.
UACGGGGGGGGCAAGCGUUGUUCGGAAUUACUGGGCGUAAAGGGCUCGUAGGUGGCCAACUAAGUCAGACGUGAAAUCCCUCGGCUUAACCGGGGAACUGCGUCUGAUACUGGAUGGCUAGAGAUUGGGAGAGGGAUGCGGAAUUCCAGGUGUAGCGGUGAAAUGCGUAGAUAUGCGGAGGAACACCGAUGGCGAAGGCAAUCCCCUGGGCCUGCACUGACGCUCAUGCACGAAAGCGUGGGGAGCAAACAGG